UGAGGAAUAUUGGUCAAUGGGCGAGAGCCUGAACCAGCCAAGUAGCGUGCAGGAUGACGGCCCUAUGGGUUGUAAACUGCUUUUACGCGGGGAUAAAGUGCGUGACGUGUCGCGCAUCGCAGGUACCGCGUGAAUAAGGACCGGCUAAUUCCGUGCCAGCAGCCGCGGUAAUACGGAAGGUCCGGGCGUUAUCCGGAUUUAUUGGGUUUAAAGGGAGCGCAGGCCGCCCGAUAAGCGUGUUGUGAAAUGUACCGGCUCAACCGGUGAGUUGCAGCGCGAACUGUCAGGCUUGAGUGCACGGUAAGCAGGCGGAAUUCAUGGUGUAGCGGUGAAAUGCUUAGAUAUCAUGACGAACUCCGAUUGCGAAGGCAGCUUACGGGAGCGCAACUGACGCUAAAGCUCGAAGGUGCGGGUAUCGAACAGG
This 424-nucleotide ribosomal RNA is filed under the name Verrucomicrobiota bacterium. Its description in RNAcentral is "Verrucomicrobia bacterium partial 16S ribosomal RNA". It matches the Rfam family "Bacterial small subunit ribosomal RNA", at positions 355 to 776 of the family's 1533-position model. Lineage: Bacteria; Pseudomonadati; Verrucomicrobiota. The record is from RNAcentral.